CCUCCGCGCCUGACUCCCGUCUCCCCCAGAGUCCAGAGAAGGCUAGCCCAGCCCGGUCCCCAAGAAUCCCCCUCGGGCCGCCCAGCGGUGGGCCCCCUUACCUUGGCCUCGCAUUUCCGAUGACAGGAGAAGCUGCAGACUGCAAGAGAGCGAGACACAGAAAGAAAGUUUGUAGCCGCGAGCUAUGAAAUGGAAACUCUGCAGCAAUCUCCUCCCACCCGGCCCCAAGAGCUGGAGGGAGGGGAGCAGGGUGUUUGGAAUGGGCCUGGGGGAAUGAAUGAAGGAGAGCUGGCCGGUCAGGGUUCACCCCCGAGAAGCCUGGACCCUGGCGGGAGGAGGGAGCAGAAAGCCCGCAGCCCAGCGCAGCUCACGGAGCCCCUUGGCAGUUGCGGUGGCUGGGGGAGGGGGCCCAGCUUCCCACGCUGGCCGCUGGCCAGAAGCUGAGGUGGCCCCAAGCUUCAGGGGCUCAAGAGAAACUCGGGAGAAAAUCCAGCCCCAGCAGAGAAACUCCCAAGUUCAAGGGGCACCCAGCCCCUCCGAGGGACCCACGGACAGACCUGGGAGCCACACGCCACACAGAGCCACACAAGACACCCAUAGUUCACAGUGACCUCUGGAGUGCUCAGUAGCCCCUGGAAGUCUUUAAGCACCACGAGCUCUGAAUCUGAGCCGGCCAGCAAGGACACAAGGAGGAAGGAAGUCACUGAGUACAAAAUGGAACAGGGCAAAAGGGUGCAGAGAAGCAUCCAUUAGAGGACAGGAAUGGAAGAACAAGAAACAGGAGACCUGCCUUUCCCAGAGUUUAGGGUCCUGGCUCCUCCUCUAUGGUACUGCUCUACUUACUAGCCAUGAAAUCUUGAUGAAACCACCUGAUCCAUCAGCUUCUUCCUUUGUAAAAUACCUGCCCUGUCUACUAAAUCAAAGGAAAGAAUGACUGUUAAAGUGUUUCAUAAACUGUAAAGAGAAAUCAAGACAUGUAAGAAGACCAAAAGUCUACAGGGAUUUGGAGAUGAGUAAAAUUUCAAGUAGAAAAUAACAAGUUCAUAAGAGGAGCAGAAUGGUUGGAAAAAUUAUAUGAGAGAAGAAGCACAUAAAUCUCUUUGAAGAACUUGGACACUGUGGAGGAAUAGAUGAAGAAAGUGACUCAGUUUGAGAUCUGCCCUUCUGCUAAGAAAAAAAGCCGCCCAGUCCUACCGAGAUGCCCCCUCCACCAAGCUGAGUGAUGCCCAGUAGACGCAGCACUGGCAGGGUCGCUAAAUCACCUUUGAGGAAACGGGAAAUGGGCAGUGAGGGAAGCAUGACUCCGCUCCUUGAUGGAAAUGACCUCUGACAGCCCAGCAUCCAUCACCCAUCACUGAUGCUUCCCAGGAGUCUCUUCUGCCCCUCUUGCCCCUUCCUCCCCAGCCUCUGCCCCGUGGCUGUCCCGUGUCCCACUCCCCACUCACCUUUGCAGACGCUCCCCUCUCGAGUGAUCACCUGUCGGCAGAUGCCACAGGGCUUCACCUUUUUGAAGGUCUUUACUUUGAAGGUGUGGGUGGUGGGUGCCUCCAGGUCUUCAGGCUGUGGAAAAAUAAGGGGCAGAGUUCUUAAGUCCAGGGGGCUGGGGGAGGCAGAGGAGGCACUGGGGAGCUCUCCCUGACCCAUUCUUUGUUUUGGAACCAGACCUGAUCUCAGACCCAGUGGAGCAGAAAGUCAUAGGCCAGUGAAGAGUGUGGAAUUCCUUCCCAUCCAAGGGCCUGGGUUUGAAUGCUGCCUCCUCAAACUGUGUGACCUGAGGCCAGGCACUUAAUCUUUCUCAACCUGAUUCUCCUCCCUAAUAAAAAUGAGGGGGCUGCACGCUAAAUCCCUUCAACCUGUGACUGACUUGGCAGGCUUUAGAAGAAGAACAA
This is a long non-coding RNA of Monodelphis domestica (gray short-tailed opossum), 1889 nucleotides long. RefSeq lists it as uncharacterized. NCBI's taxonomy places the organism in Eukaryota, Metazoa, Chordata, Mammalia, Didelphimorphia, Didelphidae. The record is from RefSeq and is a predicted model, not a curated record.